Non-coding RNA from Pimephales promelas (fathead minnow), 441 nucleotides. Lineage: Eukaryota; Metazoa; Chordata; Actinopteri; Cypriniformes; Leuciscidae. The record is from RefSeq and is a predicted model, not a curated record.
GCUGCAGAAGGCAGUCGAUGAUGUUGAGCGCCACAUCACAAAUCCGAGAGCUGAUGUCAUGGGGCCCAACAUACCCAUGAUGGUGGAAGGCCAACCCCCGCGGUCCAGCGUGCGACGGUCAUCUCCCAGUCCAGAGAAGCUUCCGAACGAGAAGGUGCUGCGUGUGGGUGAGACGUCCAGGUGAUCCUCAUGCAUUAGGAAAGUCCUACAGGUGGAGCUGUAGGCUGGCUGGUUAAAAGAGGCUUUCCGGGAGCUGGCGGGUCUCUUUCCUCUCCGGGCCGUCGGUCUGGGCGACUGGGCGGUUGCCUUGCUCAUCGCACUUUUCUCCUCUCCCUACCCGUUUCAUUCUACUGAUCUACCCUACACCUUUGGUUAACCAUGCCAUUUACUGAUACACUUCUAUAUCAUGUUAAAUAAACAUUCCUUGUUAAAUAUAGUAAU